Molecule: ribosomal RNA, 700 nt
Filed under: Mesobacillus subterraneus
Lineage: Bacteria; Bacillati; Bacillota; Bacilli; Caryophanales; Bacillaceae
Description: bacterial SSU rRNA
Rfam family: Bacterial small subunit ribosomal RNA
Source: RNAcentral
AUGCAAGUCGAGCGGAUCUUCAUUAGCUUGCUUUUGAAGAUCAGCGGCGGACGGGUGAGUAACACGUGGGCAACCUGCCUGUAAGACUGGGAUAACUUCGGGAAACCGGAGCUAAUACCGGAUAAUCCUUUUCCUCACAUGAGGGAAAGCUGAAAGACGGUUUCGGCUGUCACUUACAGAUGGGCCCGCGGCGCAUUAGCUAGUUGGUGAGGUAACGGCUCACCAAGGCAACGAUGCGUAGCCGACCUGAGAGGGUGAUCGGCCACACUGGGACUGAGACACGGCCCAGACUCCUACGGGAGGCAGCAGUAGGGAAUCUUCCGCAAUGGACGAAAGUCUGACGGAGCAACGCCGCGUGAGCGAUGAAGGCCUUCGGGUCGUAAAGCUCUGUUGUCAGGGAAGAACAAGUAUCGGAGUAACUGCCGGUACCUUGACGGUACCUGACCAGAAAGCCACGGCUAACUACGUGCCAGCAGCCGCGGUAAUACGUAGGUGGCAAGCGUUGUCCGGAAUUAUUGGGCGUAAAGCGCGCGCAGGCGGUUCCUUAAGUCUGAUGUGAAAGCCCCCGGCUCAACCGGGGAGGGUCAUUGGAAACUGGGGAACUUGAGUGCAGAAGAGGAGAGCGGAAUUCCACGUGUAACGGUGAAAUGCGUAGAGAUGUGGAGGAACACCCGUGGCGUAAAGAGUCUCUUUGGUCCCC